GGAGCAGUUGGUAGCUCAGUGGUAGAGUGCAUGCUUUGUGUGUAUGACGUCCUGGGUUAAAAUCCCAGCUGCUCUC
Molecule: transfer RNA, 76 nt
Filed under: Dallia pectoralis (Alaska blackfish)
Lineage: Eukaryota; Metazoa; Chordata; Actinopteri; Esociformes; Umbridae
Description: tRNA-Thr
Rfam family: tRNA (bases 11-69)
About the family: Transfer RNA (tRNA) molecules are approximately 80 nucleotides in length.
Source: RNAcentral